RNAcentral lists this microRNA (21 nucleotides) under Monodelphis domestica (gray short-tailed opossum). RNAcentral describes it as "mdo-miR-12314-5p". The record is from miRBase by way of RNAcentral. Lineage: Eukaryota; Metazoa; Chordata; Mammalia; Didelphimorphia; Didelphidae.
AGUGGAGAACAGAAGCUUUGG